RNAcentral lists this transfer RNA (66 nucleotides) under Staphylococcus epidermidis NIH051475. RNAcentral's name for it is "tRNA-OTHER". It matches the Rfam family "tRNA", at positions 11 to 71 of the family's 71-position model. From Rfam's summary of the family: Transfer RNA (tRNA) molecules are approximately 80 nucleotides in length. Their secondary structure includes four short double-helical elements and three loops (D, anti-codon, and T loops). Further hydrogen bonds mediate the characteristic L-shaped molecular structure. tRNAs have two regions of fundamental functional importance: the anti-codon, which is responsible for specific mRNA codon recognition, and the 3' end, to which the tRNAs corresponding amino acid is attached (by aminoacyl-tRNA synthetases). tRNAs cope with the degeneracy of the genetic code in two manners: having more than one tRNA (with a specific anti-codon) for a particular amino acid; and 'wobble' base-pairing, i.e. permitting non-standard base-pairing at the 3rd anti-codon position. The record is from RNAcentral. Lineage: Bacteria; Bacillati; Bacillota; Bacilli; Caryophanales; Staphylococcaceae.
CUCAGCUUGGUAGAGCACUUGGUUUGGGACCAAGGGGUCGUAGGUUCGAAUCCUGUCUUCCCGAUA